Non-coding RNA from Equus caballus (horse), 2024 nucleotides. Lineage: Eukaryota; Metazoa; Chordata; Mammalia; Perissodactyla; Equidae. The record is from RefSeq and is a predicted model, not a curated record.
GCCAGCUGCUCCCGGGCCUUCUCCGAGGGCUCCUGGGGGGUCUCGGAGCCUUUCCUCUUGAACUUCUUCGACUGCGGGAGACAGGGGCAGGAGCAACGCUUUAGGGAACCAGAGAAGGCCCCAUGUCAGCCCGAGGGCGGAGGGCAGCGGGGGUGUCUGGGGCGCGGCUGGAGGUGGAAGACCACUCUUGGGUGAUGUCAGCUGCUCAUCUGUUACAUGGCAAACCCGCCCAAAGUUGCCAGCGUGAAGAGGAGCCUGGCCCUCAUUGUUGCAUGCGGAAGAGGCGGCCUUGCUGUGUGACCUUGGGCGAGUCACUUAACAUCUCUGAGCCUCCGGUCUCUCAUCUAUAAAAUGGGGUGUGCCUACCUUUGUUGUCAGCGUUAGAUGAGCUAAUAUGGGGACAGUGACCAGCACAGUGCCUGACCCACAGCAAGCGCUGGGGGACACGGGAGCUGUUACCUACCAGCGGCAUCCUGAAGGAAUUGUGCUCCUCCUCUGCUCAGACACCGUCGUACCAGAGAGUCAAAGCCAUGUGAACAGGGGCACUGAAGCUUGCACACUUGGGAAGAGAGAGACUGUUUCCUGCUGCAUCUGAACCUGGGUGAAGGAGGUCGGGAGUGGCUGGCAGCUGCUGCCACUGCAGGAGCCUGAGAAUAAAGCCAACGUGGAGGAGAGAAGACAAAACGGAGAGAGAUGGAAGCUUAGGGACAUCUGAGCCCCUGGAUACAGCCGAGCCUGAAGGUACCUCUGGGUCAUGUCCAAUUACAUGAAUCAACAUAUUCUCCUCAGGUAGUCUGAGAUGAGUUUUCUAUCACUUGCAACCAAAUGAGUUCUCAAGCCCGAAGUACUUAAGAUUCAUUUAAUGCACAAACAAAGCACCUACUCUGUGCUAAACAUCGGAGAGAAUUCAGUGAUAAGUCAGGCUUCAAGGUGCUAUAAAUCUUGCCUGGGCUAAAAUAGUGGAAAAGGCUCCACAGAGGAAGUGACUUUUCAUUUUGGUUUUGAAGGAUUAAUAGGAGUUCACCAAGCAGAGAAGAAAAGGGGGGAAGGAAUUCUGGGUAAAGAGAACUGUCUGGGCAAAGGGUGAGAGGGCAGUGAGUAACAGGAGUGUUCCGAGAAUGAUGUGGUCUCGUGUAGGUGGCAGCACCCACUAGGAAGUGACUGGCAAAGAGGUCUGGAGAAGCCCAGAUGUUCCUGAGAAGCAAGGAGGUAAUGAGGUCAGCCUGUAAGGGGUCAGUUAAUUGCCCCUCCCUGUAGCGUGCUGUCUGGGUGGCUGCCUGGCCAGGACUGACACGUCCCCGCUCCUCCUGAACCCAGGUGGGGCCGUGUGGCGAAUUCUCACCAACCCGGUGUGAGCAGAGGGGAGGGGUGGCACUUGCAGGCCACGGCUUUUAGGAAGUGGAUGUGACAUUCCCAUCCUCUCUUCCCCACCUGACAUCUGCGGGAGUUGGAGCCACAGAUCAACCUACAGAAGAAUCACCUGCCGACCACGGGCGUCCUCAUGGAACUGUCACAAGAGGAGCAACUGAUUUCGGUCGUGUUAAGCCAAGGGCAUGUGGGGAUAUAGUUGUCACAGCCGCUACCAUGACUCUAAGAAUACCCCGACUUCUUCCUUCCUAACAGGGCUCUGAUCUGGUCCCUCCUCAAUGUGCCCAGUCCCAGAGGAUGAAUCCUGAUUGGUUCCCACUUCCCUUUGUCAAUGAUUGGUCUAAGGAUGGGUGUGUGAACCAGAUCUGACCAGUAAGACACAAAGAGAAGUCUAUUCCCAUGCCUUUGUGAAAAAAGAGUUUGUUCAUGUUCCCCUUUUUUGCUUUUGGGAAUUAUUGUGAAGCAUGAUGGCUGGUGCGAUGGCAGCCAUCCUGUGUCUAUGAGGAGAAAUAGCACUGUCACUCUGAGGAGAGCAAAGAAGAAAGAUGGGAGAAAAUUUAGGUCCUUAUUGACACUAUUUCCCACUGCUCCCUCCUUGGAACUGCCUACCUCUGGGUUUCAUGUUAAGUGAAAUAAUAAGUAUUAGUAUUGCUUAA